Molecule: long non-coding RNA, 684 nt
Organism: Oncorhynchus tshawytscha (Chinook salmon)
Lineage: Eukaryota; Metazoa; Chordata; Actinopteri; Salmoniformes; Salmonidae
Source: Ensembl
UGACAAACGACUGAACCCUCCUCUCUGCGCCUGAUUCCACCCACCACUCCUAGUUUAUCGUAACGCUUACCUUGGCUUACUGCAUUCGCAGUAACAGGUUGAGAGUAACAGGCUCCUUGUGGAGUGCAACGGUCGUUAUUGCGUUGGACUAGUUAACUGUAAGGUUGCAAGAAUGGAUCCCCUGAGCUGACAAGCCGAUUCUCAAGAUCAUGCACACUAAUGAGAUGCUAUGGAGCCCAAACUACUACACUGUCUGAGCAAAGGACUACAUGCUUUCUGGAAAAUUCCGCGGGCAAUAUCUGAUGUGUGGAGACAUUUCUCUGCAGCUAAUGUAGAAGGAAAAGCUGUGUACAUUUGCAAAUACUGUGCCAAAUCAUAUGUGAAGACUGCAACAAAGAUGCAGAAUCAUCUGGCCAAGUGCAUAAAGUUCCCUCAGUGCUCACAACAAGCAACCUCUGACAAAACUCCCUCUACUUCUAUUCGAGGUGAAUAUAAUGAAUCAGACAUCUUAUCGACAGCAACAGCUCAUGGUCCUCCUCGAAUCAGAAGGUUUUUUGACUCAAUGGAGGAAUGUGGUCACAGAAAUGCUGAUGAAUGUCUUGCUCGAGCUGUGUAUGCAACUGGUUCACCUCUGAUGCUCACAGGCACUGUGUAUUGAAGAGAUUUCUGAAUGUUCUACACCAA